UUGGUUAAGUUAGAAAGGGCGCACGGUGGAUGCCUUGGCACUAGGAGCCGAAGAAGGACGGGACUAACACCGAUAUGCUUUGGGGAGCUGUACGUAAGCGUUGAUCCAGAGAUUUCCGAAUGGGGGAACCCACUAUCUUUAGUCGGAUAGUAUCCUUACGUGAAUACAUAGCGUGAGGAAGGCAGACCCAGGGAACUGAAACAUCUAAGUACCUGGAGGAAGAGAAAGAAAAAUCGAUUUCCUGAGUAGCGGCGAGCGAAACGGAAAGAGCCCAAACCAAGAAGCUUGCUUCUUGGGGUUGUAGGACACUCUAUACGGAGUUACAAAAGAAAGUUAUAAAUGAAGCGGUCUGGAAAGGCCCGCCAAAGACGGUAACAGCCCGGUAGUUGAAAUGGCUUUCCCUCCAGAGUGGAUCCUGAGUACGGCGGAACACGUGAAAUUCCGUCGGAAUCCGGGAGGACCAUCUCCCAAGGCUAAAUACUCCCUAGUGACCGAUAGUGAACCAGUACCGUGAGGGAAAGGUGAAAAGCACCCCGGAAGGGGAGUGAAACAGUUCCUGAAACCGUGUGCCUACAAGUAGUUAGAGCCCGUUAAUGGGUGAUAGCGUGCCUUUUGUAGAAUGAACCGGCGAGUUACGAUUUGUUGCAAGGUUAAGCGGAAAAAGCGGAGCCGUAGCGAAAGCGAGUCUGAAUAGGGCGCAUAAGUAACAGGUCGUAGACCCGAAACCAGGUGAUCUACCCAUGUCCAGGAUGAAGGUAAGGUAAUACUUACUGGAGGUCCGAACCCACGCACGUUGAAAAGUGCGGGGAUGAGGUGUGGGUAGCGGAGAAAUUCCAAUCGAACUUGGAGAUAGCUGGUUCUCUCCGAAAUAGCUUUAGGGCUAGCCUCGAGGUAAAGAGUCAUGGAGGUAGAGCACUGUUUGGACUAGGGGCCCUUCUCGGGUUACCGAAUUCAGAUAAACUCCGAAUGCCAUGUACUUAUACUCGGGAGUCAGACUGCGAGUGAUAAGAUCCGUAGUCGAAAGGGAAACAGCCCAGACCACCAGUUAAGGUCCCCAAAUAUAUGUUAAGUGGAAAAGGAUGUGGGGUUGCUUAGACAACCAGGAUGUUGGCUUAGAAGCAGCCACCAUUGAAAGAGUGCGUAAUAGCUCACUGGUCGAGUGACCCCGCGCCGAAAAUGUACCGGGGCUAAACAUAUUACCGAAACUGUGGAUGAACCUCUUUAGAGGUUCGUGGUAGGAGAGCGUUCUAAGGGCGGUGAAGUCAGACCGGAAGGACUGGUGGAGCGCUUAGAAGUGAGAAUGCCGGUAUGAGUAGCGAAAGAAGGGUGAGAAUCCCUUCCACCGAAUAUCUAAGGUUUCCUGAGGAAGGCUCGUCCGCUCAGGGUUAGUCGGGACCUAAGCCGAGGCCGAUAGGCGUAGGCGAUGGACAACAGGUAGAGAUUCCUGUACCAGUGCUAAUUGUUUAACCGAUGGGGUGACACAGAAGGAUAGGGAAUCGCACGAAUGGAAAUGUGCGUCCAAGCAGUGAGUGUGAGAAGUAGGCAAAUCCGCUUCUCGCGAAGCAUGAGCUGUGAUGGGGAAGGAAAUUAAGUACGGAAGUUCCUGAUUUCACGCUGUCAAGAAAAGCCUCUAGGAAGAGUAGUACUGCCCGUACCGCAAACCGACACAGGUAGAUGAGGAGAGAAUCCUAAGGUGAGCGAGAGAACUCUCGUUAAGGAACUCGGCAAAAUGACCCCGUAACUUCGGGAGAAGGGGUGCUCUAUUAGGGUGCAAGCCCGAGAGAGCCGCAGUGAAUAGGCCCAGGCGACUGUUUAGCAAAAACACAGGUCUCUGCAAAACCGUAAGGUGACGUAUAGGGGCUGACGCCUGCCCGGUGCUGGAAGGUUAAGAGGAGUGCUUAGCUUCGGCGAAGGUACGAAUUGAAGCCCCAGUAAACGGCGGCCGUAACUAUAACGGUCCUAAGGUAGCGAAAUUCCUUGUCGGGUAAGUUCCGACCCGCACGAAAGGCGCAACGAUCUGGGCACUGUCUCAACGAGAGACUCGGUGAAAUUAUAGUACCUGUGAAGAUGCAGGUUACCCGCGACAGGACGGAAAGACCCCGUGGAGCUUUACUGCAACCUGAUAUGGAAUGUUUGUACCGCUUGUACAGGAUAGGUAGGAGCCGAAGAGACGUGUGCGCUAGCAUACGAGGAGGCAAUGGUGGGAUACUACCCUGGCUGUAUGACCAUUCUAACCCGCCACGCUUAGCGCGUGGGGAGACAGUGUCAGGUGGGCAGUUUGACUGGGGCGGUCGCCUCCUAAAGAGUAACGGAGGCGCCCAAAGGUUCCCUCAGAAUGGAUGGAAAUCAUUCGCAGAGUGUAAAGGCACAAGGGAGCUUGACUGCGAGACUGACAAGUCGAGCAGGGACGAAAGUCGGGCUUAGUGAUCCGGUGGUUCCGCAUGGAAGGGCCAUCGCUCAACGGAUAAAAGCUACCCCGGGGAUAACAGGCUUAUCUCCCCCAA
Molecule: ribosomal RNA, 2504 nt
Filed under: Listeria monocytogenes
Lineage: Bacteria; Bacillati; Bacillota; Bacilli; Caryophanales; Listeriaceae
Description: partial 23S ribosomal RNA
Rfam family: Bacterial large subunit ribosomal RNA
Source: RNAcentral